GAUGAACGCUAGCUACAGGCUUAACACAUGCAAGUCGAGGGGCAGCAUCGCGAUAGCUUGCUAUUGCGGAUGGCGACCGGCGCACGGGUGAGUAACGCGUAUCCAACCUUCCCGCAACUGGGGAAUAACCUUGCGAAAGUAAGACUAAUACCCCAUGGUCUCCACGGAUGGCAUCUGAAAUGGAGUAAAGGUUUCGGCCGGUUGCGGAUGGGGAUGCGUCCGAUUAGCUUGACGGCGGGGUAACGGCCCACCGUGGCAUCGAUCGGUAGGGGUUCUGAGAGGAAGGUCCCCCCACAUUGGAACUGAGACACGGUCCAAAACUCCUACGGGAGGCAGCAGUGAGGAAUAUUGGUCAAUGGGCGGAAGCCUGAACCAGCCAAGUAGCGUGAAGGAAGACGGUCCUACGGAUUGUAAACCUCUUUUGUCGGGGAGUAACGUGCGGGACGGGUCCCGUAUUGAGAGUACCCGAAGAAAAAGCAAUCGGCUAACUCCGUG
This 495-nucleotide ribosomal RNA is filed under the name uncultured bacterium. Its description in RNAcentral is "bacterial SSU rRNA". It matches the Rfam family "Bacterial small subunit ribosomal RNA", at positions 28 to 507 of the family's 1533-position model. The record is from RNAcentral.